UCCCUGGCAGUCCAGUGGUUAGGACUCAGCACUUUCACUGCUGGUACCUGGGUUCAAUCCCUGGUUGGGGAA
This 72-nucleotide transfer RNA is filed under the name Bos taurus (domestic cattle). It matches the Rfam family "tRNA". Rfam says of the family: Transfer RNA (tRNA) molecules are approximately 80 nucleotides in length. Their secondary structure includes four short double-helical elements and three loops (D, anti-codon, and T loops). RNAcentral also lists the same sequence under 4 other names. Lineage: Eukaryota; Metazoa; Chordata; Mammalia; Artiodactyla; Bovidae. The record is from Rfam by way of RNAcentral.